This 304-nucleotide ribosomal RNA is filed under the name uncultured bacterium. RNAcentral's name for it is "bacterial SSU rRNA". It matches the Rfam family "Bacterial small subunit ribosomal RNA", at positions 30 to 334 of the family's 1533-position model. RNAcentral also lists the same sequence under 1 other name. The record is from RNAcentral.
AUUGAACGCUGGCGGCAGGCCUAACACAUGCAAGUCGAGCGGUAGAGAGAAGCUUGCUUCUCUUGAGAGCGGCGGACGGGUGAGUAAUGCCUAGGAAUCUGCCUGGUAGUGGGGGAUAACGUUCGGAAACGGACGCUAAUACCGCAUACGUCCUACGGGAGAAAGCAGGGGACCUUCGGGCCUUGCGCUAUCAGAUGAGCCUAGGUCGGAUUAGCUAGUUGGUGAGGUAAUGGCUCACCAAGGCGACGAUCCGUAACUGGUCUGAGAGGAUGAUCAGUCACACUGGAACUGAGACACGGUCCAG